RNAcentral lists this ribosomal RNA (591 nucleotides) under uncultured bacterium. RNAcentral describes it as "bacterial SSU rRNA". It matches the Rfam family "Bacterial small subunit ribosomal RNA", at positions 252 to 859 of the family's 1533-position model. The record is from RNAcentral.
GUGGGGUAACGGCCUACCAAGCCGAUGAUCCGUAGGGGGCGUGAGAGCGUGGCCCCCCACACUGGCACUGAGACACGGGCCAGACUCCUACGGGAGGCAGCAGUGAGGAAUAUUGCACAAUGGGCGCAAGCCUGAUGCAGCAACGCCGCGUGAGGGACGAAGGCCUUCGGGUUGUAAACCUCUUUUCUGAGGGACGAGGAAGGACGGUACCUCAGGAAUAAGUCUCGGCUAACUACGUGCCAGCAGCCGCGGUAAAACGUAGGAGGCGAGCGUUAUCCGGAUUUACUGGGCGUAAAGCGCGCGCAGGUGGCUUCGUGAGUCGGACAUGAAAGCUCCUGGCUUAACUGGGAGAGGCUGUUCGAUACUGCGGGGCUUGAGGUUGGGAGAGGGACGCGGAAUUCCCGGUGUAGUGGUGGAAUGCGUAGAUAUCGGGAGGAACACCAGUGGCGCAAGCGGCGUCCUGGCCCACACCUGACGCUGAGGUGCGAAAGCGUGGGUAGCAAACAGGAUUAGAUACCCUGGUAGUCCACGCUGUAAACGAUGUCAACUGGGUGUCGGUAGUUUUACACUAUCGGUGCCGAAGCUAACGCG